GCUAGUAUGGCUGAGCGGCGAAAGCGCCCCGCUGUAGACGGGGUCCCACAGGGUAUAAACACCGUAGGUUCGAGUCCUACUGCUAGCACCA
This 91-nucleotide transfer RNA is filed under the name Candidatus Riesia sp. Its description in RNAcentral is "tRNA-Tyr". It matches the Rfam family "tRNA". Rfam says of the family: Transfer RNA (tRNA) molecules are approximately 80 nucleotides in length. Their secondary structure includes four short double-helical elements and three loops (D, anti-codon, and T loops). Further hydrogen bonds mediate the characteristic L-shaped molecular structure. tRNAs have two regions of fundamental functional importance: the anti-codon, which is responsible for specific mRNA codon recognition, and the 3' end, to which the tRNAs corresponding amino acid is attached (by aminoacyl-tRNA synthetases). tRNAs cope with the degeneracy of the genetic code in two manners: having more than one tRNA (with a specific anti-codon) for a particular amino acid; and 'wobble' base-pairing, i.e. permitting non-standard base-pairing at the 3rd anti-codon position. Lineage: Bacteria; Pseudomonadati; Pseudomonadota; Gammaproteobacteria; Enterobacterales; Enterobacteriaceae. The record is from RNAcentral.